This 67-nucleotide transfer RNA is filed under the name Delia platura. Its description in RNAcentral is "tRNA-His". It matches the Rfam family "tRNA". Rfam says of the family: Transfer RNA (tRNA) molecules are approximately 80 nucleotides in length. Lineage: Eukaryota; Metazoa; Arthropoda; Insecta; Diptera; Anthomyiidae. The record is from RNAcentral.
AUUUAAAUAGUUUAAUUAAAAUAUUGAUUUGUGGUGUCAAUGAUAAGAGUGUAACUCUUUUUAGAUC